GGACUCGUGCCCGAAACUUAGGGACCACUUUGAUAGAGUGAACCAUGGGGGUUAAAGUCCCCCCGAUUCCU
This 71-nucleotide transfer RNA is filed under the name Pampus cinereus. RNAcentral describes it as "tRNA-Ile". Lineage: Eukaryota; Metazoa; Chordata; Actinopteri; Scombriformes; Stromateidae. RNAcentral also lists the same sequence under 1 other name. The record is from RNAcentral.